GCCCAUUAAAGCGGUACGCGAGCUGGGUUCAGAACGUCGUGAGACAGUUCGGUCCAUAUCCGGUGCACGCGCAAGAACAUUGAGAGGAGUUCUCCCUAGUACGAGAGGACCGGGAGGAACGCACCUCUGGUGUACCAGUUAUCGUGCCAACGGUAAACGCUGGGUAGCCAUGUGCGGAGUGGAUAACCGCUGAAAGCAUCUAAGUGGGAAGCCCACCUCAAGAUGAGUGUUCUCAUGGCAUAAGCCAGUAAGGUCACGGGAAGAACACCCGUUGAUAGGCUCUACGUGGAAGCGCAGUAAUGCGUGAAGCGGAGGAGUACUAAUAGACCGAGGGCUUGACCAUAA
RNAcentral lists this ribosomal RNA (345 nucleotides) under Synechococcus lacustris str. Tous. RNAcentral's name for it is "bacterial LSU rRNA". It matches the Rfam family "Bacterial large subunit ribosomal RNA", at positions 2583 to 2925 of the family's 2925-position model. Lineage: Bacteria; Bacillati; Cyanobacteriota; Cyanophyceae; Synechococcales; Synechococcaceae. The record is from RNAcentral.